CCCUAGUAACGGCGAGUGAAGCGGCAACAGCUCAAAUUUGAAAUCUGGCCCUCGCGGUCCGAGUUGUAAUUUGUAGAGGAUGCUUUUGGUGCGGUGCCUUCCGAGUUCCCUGGAACGGGACGCCAGAGAGGGUGAGAGCCCCGUACGGUUGGACACCUACCCUAUAUAUAGCUCCUUCGACGAGUCGAGUAGUUUGGGAAUGCUGCUCUAAAUGGGAGGUAAAUUUCUUCUAAAGCUAAAUACCGGCCAGAGACCGAUAGCGCACAAGUAGAGUGAUCGAAAGAUGAAAAGCACUUUGAAAAGAGGGUUAAAUAGCACGUGAAAUUGUUGAAAGGGAAGCGUUUGCGACCAGACUUUUCCCAGGCGGAUCAUCCGGUGUUCUCACCGGUGCACUUCGCCUGGUUUAGGCCAGCAUCGGUUCUCUUAGGGGGAUAAAGGCUUGGGGAACGUAGCUCCUUCGGGAGUGUUAUAGCCCCUUGCGUAAUACCCUUCGGGGGACCGAGGAUCGCGCUCUGCAAGGAUGCUGGCGUAAUGGUCGUCAACGACCCGUCUUGAAACACGGACCAAGGAGUCGAACAUUUGUGCGAGUGUUUGGGUUUUAAACCCUCACGCGUAAUGAAAGUGAACGGAGGUGAGAGCCCUUACGGGUGCAUCAUCGACCGAUCCUGAUGUCUUCGGAUGGAUUUGAGUAAGAGCAUAACUGUUCGGACCCGAAAGAUGGUGAACUAUGCGUGGAUAGGGUGAAGCCAGAGGAAACUCUGGUGGAGGCUCGCAGCGGUUCUGACGUGCAAAUCGAUCGUCAAAUCUGCGCAUGGGGGCGAAAGA
Molecule: ribosomal RNA, 825 nt
Filed under: Hypoxylon sp.
Lineage: Eukaryota; Fungi; Ascomycota; Sordariomycetes; Xylariales; Hypoxylaceae
Description: partial large subunit ribosomal RNA
Rfam family: Eukaryotic large subunit ribosomal RNA
Source: RNAcentral